UGGGGAAUAUUGCACAAUGGGCGCAAGCCUGAUGCAGCCAUGCCGCGUGUGUGAAGAAGGCCUUCGGGUUGUAAAGCACUUUCAGCGAGGAGGAAGGUGGUGGACUUAAUACGUUCAUCAAUUGACGUUACUCGCAGAAGAAGCACCGGCUAACUCCGUGCCAGCAGCCGCGGUAAUACGGAGGGUGCAAGCGUUAAUCGGAAUUACUGGGCGUAAAGCGCACGCAGGCGGUUUGUUAAGUCAGAUGUGAAAUCCCCGGGCUCAACCUGGGAACUGCAUUUGAAACUGGCAAGCUAGAGUCUCGUAGAGGGGGGUAGAAUUCCAGGUGUAGCGGUGAAAUGCGUAGAGAUCUGGAGGAAUACCGGUGGCGAAGGCGGCCCCCUGGACGAAGACUGACGCUCAGGUGCGAAAGCGUGGGGCAGCAAACAGGAUUAGAUACCCUGGUAGUCCACGCUGUAAACGAUGUCGAUUUGGAGGUUGUGCCCUUGAGGCGUGGCUUCCGGAGCUAACGCGUUAAAUCGACCGCCUGGGGAGUACGGCCGCAAGGUUAAAACUCAAAGGAAUUG
RNAcentral lists this ribosomal RNA (566 nucleotides) under uncultured bacterium. RNAcentral describes it as "partial 16S ribosomal RNA". It matches the Rfam family "Bacterial small subunit ribosomal RNA", at positions 355 to 912 of the family's 1533-position model. The record is from RNAcentral.